UACGGAAGGCAGCAGUGGGGAAUAUUGCACAAUGGGCGCAAGCCUGAUGCAGCCAUGCCGCGUGUAUGAAAAAGGCCUUCGGGUUGUAAAGUACUUUCAGUCGUGAGGAGGUGUUAAGGUUAAUAACCUUAGCAAUUGACGUUAGCGACAGAAGAAGCACCGGCUAACUCCGUGCCAGCAGCCGCGGUAAUACGGAGGGUGCGAGCGUUAAUCGGAAUUACUGGGCGUAAAGGGCACGCAGGCGGUUAAUUAAGUUGGGUGUGAAAUCCCCGGGCUUAACCUGGGAAUGGCAUUCAAGACUGGUUAGCUAGAGUCUUGUAGAGGGGGUAGAAUUCCAUGUGUAGCGGUGAAAUGCGUAGAGAUGUGGAGGAAUACCGGUGGCGAAGGCGGCCCCUGGACAAAGACUGACGCUCAUGUGCGAAAGCGUGGGGAGCAAACAGGGAUUAGAUACC
RNAcentral lists this ribosomal RNA (452 nucleotides) under uncultured bacterium. RNAcentral describes it as "bacterial SSU rRNA". It matches the Rfam family "Bacterial small subunit ribosomal RNA", at positions 340 to 786 of the family's 1533-position model. The record is from RNAcentral.